Biscogniauxia marginata is the source of this 80-nucleotide non-coding RNA. The record is from the annotation of a GenBank genome assembly. NCBI's taxonomy places the organism in Eukaryota, Fungi, Ascomycota, Sordariomycetes, Xylariales, Xylariaceae.
UGUCUCGUGGGGCAGUGAUCAGCCCGUGCAGGUCACCGACCGUAAGACCAAGGUCGCUAGUUCGAAUCUAGCCGAGACUG